AACAUCCAGGGCCUGCUUUCAUUAAGUUGCUUAGAGAAAUCUUAACUUUUAAGUGUACAUUUUGGAGCUACUAAUUUAAAUAUUAUGGAGGGAAAUGAUAAUGAAGUUUACUUAGAGACAUAAUCGUGGGAAAUGAUAAUGAAGGUUAUUUAGCAACAGAAAGAAUGGAAAUGAUCAUGAAGGUUGUUAAGCAACAGAAAGGAUGGAAAUGAUCAUGAAGGUUAUUUAGCAACAUAAAGAAUGGAAAUGAUAAUGAAGGUUAUUUAGCAAAAGAAAGAAUGGAAAUGAUAAUGAAGGUUAUUUAGCAACAUAAAGAAUGGAAAUAAUCAUGAGGUUAUUUAGCAACAGAAAGAAUGGAAAUAAUCAUGAAGGUUAUUUAGCAACAGAAAGAAUGGAAAUGAUCAUGAAGGUUAUUUAGCAACAUAACGUAUGGAAAUAAUCAUGAAUGUUUUUGAGCAACAUAAUGUAGGCAAAUGAUCAUGUUGAUUACUUAGCAAUAUAAAGUAAGGAAAACGUUAAUAUUUACUUGUAAUUCAGUAAAUAUUUUGAUGUAUGUAUGACCUGUAAGAAUUGCCUAGGUCAUAGAUUGAGAGAACUAAGUAUUUAAAGACCUACCAACCAGGGGUUAAUACCUGUGUAUUAAUUGUUUGUAGAUUAGCCUGUGCCAGUCUGCAAAGGCUAACCAGGGACACCAAUUCGCUUUCAUGGAUUUUUACCUUUAAAGGAAGUUGCUGCUUAGCAAAAGUCCAAUUUAGAUGGAAACCGUCUUCCCUGAUAAGGCUGUGCUGACUGCAUAGGCUAAUCUGGGAUGACACUUUACGCACACGCUUUUAGCCCAGUCUUCCCAAA
Dreissena polymorpha is the source of this 849-nucleotide long non-coding RNA. RefSeq lists it as uncharacterized. Lineage: Eukaryota; Metazoa; Mollusca; Bivalvia; Myida; Dreissenidae. The record is from RefSeq and is a predicted model, not a curated record. The transcript has 3 exons.